RNAcentral lists this long non-coding RNA (253 nucleotides) under Brassica napus (rape). RNAcentral's name for it is "long non-coding RNA (BNAP_LNC004382)". The record is from RNAcentral. Lineage: Eukaryota; Viridiplantae; Streptophyta; Magnoliopsida; Brassicales; Brassicaceae.
AUUAUUUUUAAAUUUAAUAUCUAAAAGAAUAUACAAAAUAUAUAAAAUGUUUUUAAGUUGUCCAAAAUACUUGGAAAUAUAUACAAAUAGUUAUAAGUACAUGUUUAAAAUAGCUAAUUGAUACGUAAAACACUUAAAAAUACUUAAAAUAUCUAUUGAUUUCAUAUCCAAAUGCUUAAGCUAAACCAAAUUUUAUGUCAAAUUUAAGUAUUACGACAUACAUUAUUCAAAUUUAUAUGUUAUAUAUUAUUUU